GUAGGGUCCGAGCGUUAAUCGGAAUUACUGGGCGUAAAGCGUGCGCAGGCGGUUUUGUAAGCCAGAUGUGAAAGCCCCGGGCUCAACCUGGGAACUGCAUUUGGGACUGCAAGGCUGGAGUACGGCAGAGGGAGGUGGAAUUCCACGUGUAGCAGUGAAAUGCGUAGAGAUGUGGAGGAACACCGAUGGCGAAGGCAGCCUCCUGGGCUAGUACUGACGCUCAUGCACGAAAGCGUGGGGAGCAAACAGGAUUAGAUACCCUGGUAGUCCACGCCCUAAACGAUGACAACUAGUUGUUGGGGGAUUACAUCCCUUAGUAACGCAGCUAACGCGUGAAGUUGUCCGCCUGGGGAGUACGGUCGCAAGAUU
Molecule: ribosomal RNA, 369 nt
Filed under: uncultured bacterium
Lineage: Bacteria
Description: bacterial SSU rRNA
Rfam family: Bacterial small subunit ribosomal RNA
Source: RNAcentral